AUGGACCACAUGCGCACUCCGGUCUGAGCGCCGUCAAAGCCAGCUGACGACUGCUCGCUACGUUUCUAGCU
This 71-nucleotide small RNA is filed under the name Xanthomonas arboricola. Its description in RNAcentral is "sRNA sX9". It matches the Rfam family "Xanthomonas sRNA sX9". Lineage: Bacteria; Pseudomonadati; Pseudomonadota; Gammaproteobacteria; Lysobacterales; Lysobacteraceae. The record is from RNAcentral.